Molecule: ribosomal RNA, 253 nt
Filed under: uncultured bacterium
Lineage: Bacteria
Description: partial 16S ribosomal RNA
Rfam family: Bacterial small subunit ribosomal RNA
Source: RNAcentral
UACGGAGGGUGCAAGCGUUAUCCGGAAUGAUUGGGCGUAAAGCGUCCGCAGGUGGCAAUGUAAGUCUGCUGUCAAAGCGUCUGGCUCAACCAGAUAAAGGCAGUGGAAACUACAUAGCUAGAGUAAGGUAGGGGUAGAGGGAAUUCCUGGUGUAGCGGUGAAAUGCGUAGAGAUCAGGAAGAACACCGGUGGCGAAAGCGCUCUGCUGGACCUUAACUGACACUGAGGGACGAAAGCUAGGGGAGCGAAUGGG